AAAUAAGAAACAAAAUUUGUGUUUAGUUUCGACCUAAAAUUUUGAUGUUUAAUCAUCCUUAUUUU
This 65-nucleotide transfer RNA is filed under the name Callicerus obscurus. RNAcentral describes it as "tRNA-Arg". The record is from RNAcentral. Lineage: Eukaryota; Metazoa; Arthropoda; Insecta; Coleoptera; Staphylinidae.